CGCCUCUUGAGUAAAAUAAGAGGUCCAGCCUGCCCAGUGAAAUUAUUUAACGGCCGCGGUAUCCUAACCGUGCGAAGGUAGCGUAAUCACUUGUUCUUUAAAUGAGGACUAGUAUGAAUGGCACCACGAGGGUUCUACUGUCUCCUUUUUUAAAUCAGUGAAACUAAUCUCCCCGUGAAGAAGCGGGGAUUUUUUUAUAAGACGAGAAGACCCUAUGGAGCUUUAAACAAACAUCAUUUGCUGCACAUAACACUUUUACCUUCAAUAAAUAUAGCAUUAUGACCUUUAGUUUUUGAUUGGGGUGAUCACGGAGUAAAAUGAAACCUCCACGCCGAAAGGGUUAACACCCUGAGCAAAAAGCCACAACUUUAAGCACUAAAAAAUUAACGUAACUUGACCCAAUAUUUUGAUCAACGAACCAAGUUACCCUAGGGAUAACAGCGCAAUCCACUUCAAGAGCUCCUAUCGACAAGUGGGUUUACGACCUCGAUGUUGGAUCAGGGUAUCCUAGUGGUGCAGCCGCUACUAA
RNAcentral lists this ribosomal RNA (529 nucleotides) under Boana aff. geographica sp. 1 PP-2018. RNAcentral's name for it is "LSU rRNA". It matches the Rfam family "Bacterial large subunit ribosomal RNA", at positions 1816 to 2568 of the family's 2925-position model. Lineage: Eukaryota; Metazoa; Chordata; Amphibia; Anura; Hylidae. The record is from RNAcentral.